This is a long non-coding RNA of Astatotilapia calliptera (eastern happy), 2349 nucleotides long. The record is from Ensembl. NCBI's taxonomy places the organism in Eukaryota, Metazoa, Chordata, Actinopteri, Cichliformes, Cichlidae.
GUUUUUGGAGUUGGAAAACAAAGGUUGCUAACUAAUGACAUGAGAAUCAAUCGGGAGCGCCCACUCCCCAGCAGAGAGUAGUUCAGCACCUGCUGGAGGUUAAAGCCUUUUUUAUGGAGUUCUGAGUACUGCUCCGUUGGCUAUUUUAAGAUAUUUCAACCCCAUCUCUGCUGUAUUGGCUCAUUGCACUCAUUAUUUUGAUUCUAAUCAAGAAAAACAACUCUUCUGCUUUGUGGUUGCUAGUCCAAGAGUUAAUGUUACACAUCUAAAAGCAUUAGCAUCUUGUGUAUUAUAAUGCAACAUUGUAAAUCUCUAACAUAGUGGCGAUAACAGCAUCUUCAACAUGUUUGGUGCUCCAGUUCGUUAAUAACAUUUUUCUUGUUCACACAGGUCAUUAUUUUAUUUUUUAUUUUUUUGUUUAUUAUCCUCCCUUAUUUCUAUUUUCUGCCCUACUUUCUCUUCACCCACUCUCACCCUUAACUUUUCCCUUUCUCUCUCUUUCCUGUUUUUCCUCCAGGCCACAGUCACCCUAUGGACAUGCCUGGCCGAGGGCUGUACGACGAGAGGGACAGUGGCAUCGCCAGGUCUGGUACGUUAAUGAGACUAGGCACCAAAGCCUGGAUUGACCUACACUCACACCACUUUCAGUCCCACAGCUGAGUUUUGAAUUACGCCUACAUUUAAUCUGAUCAAGACUAAAGAGGUCAAGGAACAGAGAACAUUGAGAGUAUGUCAGGAAGAUACUGGGUCAUUACACUCUACAUAAAACCACACAGAAAGAAAUAAAAGCAUGGUGGAAGAUGGUGUUGAGGUGAAUACAUAGCUUCUGAAGUCUGGAAAAGUUUGUCCUGUGGAAACUGACCCCUGUCUCCCAGGCUCUCCUUUAGCCCCACCCCUUCAAACAUCACCACGUCCUAUUGGAAUGACUGGUACGAGGAGAAUUGUACAUUCAGCACGAGACCCAUGUUUAAGCAGAGAGUUAAAUAUAUCGUCGCUCGAUACUAGCUUUUCUAAUUUAAGAACUCUGCGUCUUUUUUUGACUUUCUCCACCUCUGUACUGUGGUUAGGCUGGAGAGGGUUUUUUGCUGCUGCAACACUCUUAUCAGUUUUCUCCUUACAAGAUGUACACAUUCAUUCAGUUAUCUCUCUUUAUCUCUUAAAACAAACACACAAUAUCACACACCAACUAAAUGGUUCAUGUGACCAGUGAUCAGUGCGUCCUGUCAGGGCUGUAAAUAACCCUGUGAUCAAGGCCUGUAGAGAGAGAGAGAGUGUGUGUGUGUGUGUGUGUGUGUGUGUGUGUCAGUGUCAUUAUCAUGCCAAGCUUGGUGUAAAGCCAGUUUGUCAAACAACUGCAGCAUGUGACUAUGAGCAAGCUUGCUGACAUUAGCGCUCAUAUCAAAGGUAUUCAGUAAUUACAGUCUGCGUUUGUGGAAACCAAGAAAAAAGAUUGAAUGUUUGAGGAUUCAUUUGUUUGUUUUCGGUGUACCAGUUUUCUUUUCUUUUUUUUUUCUCUCCUUCUCUCUUAGAUUGAGAGCACUGUUUUCAAGUCUGUCUGGCUGUGUUUUUGUGUAUGAUGUCUCAUUGAAACUGAGUACUCUACACACUUGUUGUCUGACUAAUUUGUGCCUUUUUUACUCUUCUGUCUCAACCAUUCCCUCUGUCUGUUCCCUACUCCUUUCCUUAUCUUUCAUUGUAGCUUCCUUGAGCAGCCUGUUGAUCACUCCCUUCCCAUCCCCGAGCUCGUCCUUGACCAGCAGCUGUGCAUCCAGUUACCAGCGCCGAUGGCUCCGCAGUCAAACAACCAGCCUAGAAAACGGCGUCUUCCCCCGAUGGUGAGAUGCAUGCAGACAUACAUCUGUUUAAAAAAACAAAACAAAAACAAAACAAAUAUUAAUUAAAAUAAAUAUUCCAGUCAAUAAAAACUGUGUAAAUGAGGAAAGACACAACAGAAAAUAAAGCAGGGCAGUUUUGCAGUAGAAAAACAAACAUAAACCAUUUGCCAGACAUGCAAGCAAGUACACAAAAACAUUAGGGUAUCAGCUGAUGACUUCUCCAUAUUUAAAAAAUUGAGACUUCAUUUGAUUUCACUUCAACAUUUGUAAAGUUAUAAAACACUUAAAGGAAAUGAAAAUGUCCAUCACAGAGUUUAAGGCUCAAAAUUAUGUUUCUGACCAACUUGGAUAUAAUUACAUUCAUUACCACAGAAAAUUCUAGCGAUUAUAAAAACAAACAAAAGAAACAAACUUAAAAGCUAGAAGGAAAAAAAGAUGAUCAGAAAUGGUUUCUGAAUUAAUUAUUUACUAGUAAAUCAUUUGUUUUGUUGAUUUGCCAGCUGAUUGAUAUGGU